CACUAUGCUUAGCCUUAAACAUUGAUCGUUUACUACAUCAAACAUCCGCCUGGGAAUUACGAACAUUAGUUUAAAACCCAAAGGACUUGGCGGUGCUUAACAUCCACCUAGAGGAGCCUGUUCUAGAACCGAUAAUCCCCGUUUAACCUCACCCCCCCUAGCUUUUUCCGCCUAUAUACCACCGUCGCCAGCUUACCCUGUGAAGGACUAAUAGUAAGCACAAUCGGCACAGCCCAGAACGUCAGGUCGAGGUGUAGUGAAUGGGAGGGGAAGAAAUGGGCUACAUUCGCUGCCCGCAGCGAACACGAAUGCUACAUUGAAAUAUGCAGCUGAAGGAGGAUUUAGCAGUAAGCAGAAAACAGAGUGUUCCGCUGAAGCCGGCUCUUAAGCGCGCACACACCGCCCGUCACCCUCCCCAAGCAACUGGACCUAAAAUUUUCUUUAAACCCUAACAACCGCGAAGGAGAGGAAAGUCGUAA
RNAcentral lists this ribosomal RNA (479 nucleotides) under Caranx ignobilis (giant trevally). RNAcentral's name for it is "partial small subunit ribosomal RNA". It matches the Rfam family "Bacterial small subunit ribosomal RNA", at positions 788 to 1491 of the family's 1533-position model. Lineage: Eukaryota; Metazoa; Chordata; Actinopteri; Carangiformes; Carangidae. The record is from RNAcentral.